AGUGAACGCUGGCGGUAGGCCUAACACAUGCAAGUCGAACGGCAGCACAGUAAGCGCUUGCUCUUACGGGUGGCGAGUGGCGGACGGGUAAGGAAUACAUCGGCAUCUACUUUUUCGUGGGGGAUAACGUAGGGAAACUUACGCUAAUACCGCAUACGUCCUACGGGAGAAAGCAGGGGAUCUUCGGACCUUGCGCGUUUGAAUGAGCCGAUGUCGGAUUAGCUAGUUGGCGGGGUAAAGGCCCACCAAGGCGACGAUCCGUAGCUGGUCUGAGAGGAUGAUCAGCCACACUGGAACUGAGCCACGGUCCAGACUCCUACGGGAGGCAGCAGUGGGGAAUAUUGGACAAUGGGCGCAAGCCUGAUCCAGCCAUACCGCGUGGGUGAAGAAGGCCUUCGGGUUGUAAAGCCCUUUUGUUGGGAAAGAAAAGCAGCAGGUUAAUACCCCGCUGUUCUGACGGUACCCAAAGAAUAAGCACCGGCUAACUUCGUG
RNAcentral lists this ribosomal RNA (492 nucleotides) under uncultured bacterium. Its description in RNAcentral is "partial 16S ribosomal RNA". It matches the Rfam family "Bacterial small subunit ribosomal RNA", at positions 29 to 507 of the family's 1533-position model. The record is from RNAcentral.